Molecule: ribosomal RNA, 341 nt
Filed under: uncultured bacterium
Lineage: Bacteria
Description: bacterial SSU rRNA
Rfam family: Bacterial small subunit ribosomal RNA
Source: RNAcentral
GGCCGCGGGGAUUCGAUUCAGGCCUAACAUGCAAGUCGAGCAAUGAAGCACCUUCGGGUGUGGAUUAGCGGCGAACGGGUGAGGAACACGUGAGGAAUCUGCCUUCCACUCUGGGAUAACUCCGGGAAACCGGGGCUAAUACCGGAUACUUUCAACUGGCGGCAUCGCCGGUUGAAGAAAGUUUUUCGGUGGAAGAUGACCUCGCGGCCUAUCAGCUUGUUGGUGAGGUAAUGGCUCACCAAGGCGACGACGGGUAGCCGGCCUGAGAGGGCGACCGGCCACACUGGGACUGAGACACGGCCCAGACUCCUACGGGAGGCAGCAGUGGGGAAUAUUGGGCA